GCGUCGAGCGGCGGACGGGUGAGUAAUGCCUAGGAAAUUGCCCUGAUGUGGGGGAUAACCAUUGGAAACGAUGGCUAAUACCGCAUGAUGCCUACGGGCCAAAGAGGGGGACCUUCGGGCCUCUCGCGUCAGGAUAUGCCUAGGUGGGAUUAGCUAGUUGGUGAGGUAAGGGCUCACCAAGGCGACGAUCCCUAGCUGGUCUGAGAGGAUGAUCAGCCACACUGGAACUGAGACACGGUCCAGACUCCUACGGGAGGCAGCAGUGGGGAAUAUUGCACAAUGGGCGCAAGCCUGAUGCAGCCAUGCCGCGUGUGUGAAGAAGGCCUUCGGGUUGUAAAGCACUUUCAGUCGUGAGGAAGGUAGUGUGGUUAAUAGAUGCAUUAUUUGACGUUAGCGACAGAAGAAGCACCGGCUAACUCCGUGCCAGCAGCCGCGGUAAUACGGAGGGUGCGAGCGUUAAUCGGAAUUACUGGGCGUAAAGCGCAUGCAGGUGGUUUGUUAAGUCAGAUGUGAAAGCCCGGGGCUCAACCUCGGAAUAGCAUUUGAAACUGGCAGACUAGAGUACUGUAGAGGGGGGUAGAAUUUCAGGUGUAGCGGUGAAAUGCGUAGAGAUCUGAAGGAAUACCGGUGGCGAAGGCGGCCCCCUGGACAGAUACUGACACUCAGAUGCGAAAGCGUGGGGAGCAAACAGGAUUAGAUACCCUGGUAGUCCACGCCGUAAACGAUGUCUACUUGGAGGUUGUGGCCUUGAGCCGUGGCUUUCGGAGCUAACGCGUUAAGUAGACCGCCUGGGGAGUACGGUCGCAAGAUUAAAACUCAAAUGAAUUGACGGGGGCCCGCACAAGCGGUGGAGCAUGUGGUUUAAUUCGAUGCAACGCGAAGAACCUUACCUACUCUUGACAUCCAGAGAACUUUCCAGAGAUGGAUUGGUGCCUUCGGGAACUCUGAGACAGGUGCUGCAUGGCUGUCGUCAGCUCGUGUUGUGAAAUGUUGGGUUAAGUCCCGCAACGAGCGCAACCCUUAUCCUUGUUUGCCAGCGAGUAAUGUCGGGAACUCCAGGGAGACUGCCGGUGAUAAACCGGAGGAAGGUGGGGACGACGUCAAGUCAUCAUGGCCCUUACGAGUAGGGCUACACACGUGCUACAAUGGCGCAUACAGAGGGCGGCCAACUUGCGAAAGUGAGCGAAUCCCAAAAAGUGCGUCGUAGUCCGGAUUGGAGUCUGCAACUCGACUCCAUGAAGUCGGAAUCGCUAGUAAUCGUGGAUCAGAAUGCCACGGUGAAUACGUUCCCGGGCCUU
Molecule: ribosomal RNA, 1298 nt
Filed under: Vibrio natriegens
Lineage: Bacteria; Pseudomonadati; Pseudomonadota; Gammaproteobacteria; Vibrionales; Vibrionaceae
Description: bacterial SSU rRNA
Rfam family: Bacterial small subunit ribosomal RNA
Source: RNAcentral